RNAcentral lists this ribosomal RNA (401 nucleotides) under uncultured bacterium. RNAcentral describes it as "bacterial SSU rRNA". It matches the Rfam family "Bacterial small subunit ribosomal RNA", at positions 356 to 774 of the family's 1533-position model. The record is from RNAcentral.
GGGGAAUCUUGCACAAUGGGGGCAACCCUGAUGCAGCGACGCCGCGUGAGCGAUGAAGCCCUUCGGGGCGUAAAGCUCUUUCGACCGGAACGAUAAUGACGGUACCGGGAGAAGAAGCUGCGGCUAACUACGUGCCAGCAGCCGCGGUAAUACGUAGGCAGCAAGCGUUGUUCGGAGUUACUGGGCGUAAAGAGUGCGUAGGCGGUUUUCUAAGUUCGGUGUGAAAUCUCCCGGCUUAACUGGGAGGGUGCGCCGAAGACUGGGAAGCUGGAGUGUGGGAAAGGCAGGCGGAAUUCCUGGUGUAGCGGUGAAAUGCGUAGAUAUCAGGAGGAACACCGGCGGCGUAGACGGCUUGCUAGACCAUAACUGACACUGAGGCACGAAAGCGUGGGUAGCAAACA